CUCGUAGGCGGUUCAGUUAGUCGGGUGUGAAAUCUCCGGGCUCAACCCGGAGGGGCCACCCGAUACUGCUGUGACUCGAGUCCGGUAGGGGAGUGGGGAAUUCCUGGUGUAGCGGUGAAAUGCGCAGAUAUCAGGAGGAACACCGGUGGCGAAGGCGCCACUCUGGGCCGGUACUGACGCUGAGGAGCGAAAGCGUGGGUAGCAAACAGGAUUAGAUACCCUGGUAGUCCACGCUGUAAACGGUGGGCACUAGGUGUGGGUCCUUACCAACGGGAUCCGUGCCGUAGCUAACGCAUUAAGUGCCCCGCCUGGGGAGUACGGCCGCAAGGCUAAA
Molecule: ribosomal RNA, 334 nt
Filed under: uncultured Actinomycetes bacterium
Lineage: Bacteria; Bacillati; Actinomycetota; Actinomycetes
Description: bacterial SSU rRNA
Rfam family: Bacterial small subunit ribosomal RNA
Source: RNAcentral